UUAAAAACUAUUUUAUGCCAAAAAACAUUUUUGAGUAACAGAACUUAGAUUGAAUAUCUUCGUCAGAGUGCAACUCUUCCAGCAUGCUGCAUGUCAUACUUUUGUUUGUGUGACUCGGGCCACAUUUCUGUUCCCAUGAACUCUAUUCACGUGAAGUCAUUCAUCAACUUGCGCACACUGCUACAUAAAUGUCAAGUCAGUCGAGAGUAAUCUUUAUGUGUGUUCAUGAAUGGUCUGUUAUUAUCACUAAAUGUUGACCUUACAUGUACCUAUUACAAUUGAGUCUGAUGAGGCAUUUAGUGACACACUUUUACUACCAAGUACACUUUGUGGGGUUCAGCUGAACCAUGUUGUCUGGACACUAAUGAGGUGGAACAGAGACAUCUAAUUCUUUUUUUUUUUUUAACUAAAGGCACCUGGAACUGUCUUCAAUCAAAUGCGAGGGUGUGACGACUUGAUGCAUUAAAAGCUGACAGCCCCCUGAGUCUGUCGGCUUGCCUAAUCAGUUUCUGUGGUUUUGGUCAGAUGAGAACACAGCUAUGAGGGAGAAACAAUGUAAUAUGGUGUAAGACGAGCCAGAGUAAUAAUGAAUCCUCAUUAUGAUCCAUCAUGUCUGGACAAGGGCCUCCUUCCCUUAUUGAUUUCCUCAUCUCUACAGUUUUUUUCUGUUGGUGUGCCACUCCCUCUAUCUAAUUCCACUUUAACUGUCAGUGCUCUUCGAGUAUCCAUUUCAAAUCAGCGAGUGUUUAACAUUAUCUUCUUCUCUGCUCUUUCCACAAAAUUUCUAACAGUAAUAUAAUUUGAACAGGUGGAUCUGUGAUUUCCUUCCUAUUGUUUCAGCCACCUCAACUCCACCCACGUCUCUGCCUUCGUGCCCUCGGUGUGAUUAUCUGGCCUAUGUUCUCGUUCAGCAUCCUCGGCAGCCGUCCCUUAGACUCCAAGGUCUUGUAAGCUGGUGCAAGGUCGAUCAGAGUGGUGGAAGGGGAGACAGCGAGAGAGCGCAAGCAAGACAUUCUUCCUAUCGCUCUUUUAGGACACGUGGUAGUAAGACUAUGGGCCGACAAGAAGAGGAAGCGGAAGAAGAAUCGGUCCUGUGACAACAGCAUACACUUUUAUGGCAUAAACAGUUUUGAAAAUCAAGCCUCCACAUCUUUUACUUUCUCUUCCUUUUGAGCCAUGAAACAAAUCUGUUCUCGCUA
Astatotilapia calliptera (eastern happy) is the source of this 1199-nucleotide long non-coding RNA. The record is from Ensembl. Lineage: Eukaryota; Metazoa; Chordata; Actinopteri; Cichliformes; Cichlidae.